GCGGGGAUGGCGUAAUUGGCAGCCGCGCGGCGCUUAGGUCGCCGUGCCUUCGGGCGUGGGGGUUCGAGUCCCCCUCUCCGCA
This 82-nucleotide transfer RNA is filed under the name Actinomycetota bacterium. Its description in RNAcentral is "tRNA-Leu". It matches the Rfam family "tRNA". From Rfam's summary of the family: Transfer RNA (tRNA) molecules are approximately 80 nucleotides in length. Their secondary structure includes four short double-helical elements and three loops (D, anti-codon, and T loops). Lineage: Bacteria; Bacillati; Actinomycetota. The record is from RNAcentral.